UAAAGUUCCUCUUGCCUUUCAACAUGGUUGUUUAUAGACAGGCAAACAGAAACUUUUUUUUUUUAAUUUAGACUUUAAAAACUGAAAUAGUCGAGAUUGCUUCCCUACAGAACAAUAUGUAAAUAUCUACAAUUUUUUUCUCUUUCCUCUUCCAAAGUAAAACAAAGGAAAACAAAUACAUUGGCCAAGUCUUCUGGGUUGUAUUGAAUUCAACAUCUUAUGAAACUAGGGUUGAGUUUUCCGAAAGUACAUUGGAGGUCUUUGAUAAAACUUAUUCUCUUGGCAUAAGGGGACAAGACAGUUGAGACAAACAAAGAGGAGCUUUGGGAAGGAUGCAAUUUUGGGGAAAUCUGGGGUUGUGGAGAACCCUGGGGAGCUGAAAUGGAGGGGCAGUGGUUUCAUGAGGUAGGAGAGGGGACAGUUGUUAGAUUUUUUUUUGCUGGCUUGAUGUUGCCCUUGACCUUGUUUGGAGUCAUCAUCAUGAGGAGAUUCUGACAUGUCUAACGCUAAAAUAACUUUAUUGCCUGUGUCCCGCAAAGUCAGCACCCCUGGAGUUUAGGGUGUGAUAACUGAUACAAGGUUGAAGAAGUUUGAAAAAAAUGUUUCUGCACUUGAAUUCCCUGCAAUGUCCUAAGGUUAUUUAUCAAGAUCACCUUGCUGUGUAAUCUUCUGUCACCUGUGUGUGGUGGCAGAGUUUCU
This 699-nucleotide long non-coding RNA is filed under the name Marmota monax (woodchuck). The record is from RNAcentral. Lineage: Eukaryota; Metazoa; Chordata; Mammalia; Rodentia; Sciuridae.